Chelydra serpentina (North American snapping turtle) is the source of this 78-nucleotide small nucleolar RNA. Ensembl annotates it as small nucleolar RNA, C/D box 126. Lineage: Eukaryota; Metazoa; Chordata; Testudines; Chelydridae. The record is from Ensembl.
GGUCUGCUGUGAUGAACCGCAUGUUCAGUCCGUGUUUCACCUGAUCUACCCUGAUUACACACAUGCCCUGAGCAGACU